Molecule: ribosomal RNA, 428 nt
Filed under: uncultured beta proteobacterium b4
Lineage: Bacteria; Pseudomonadati; Pseudomonadota; Betaproteobacteria; Nitrosomonadales; Nitrosomonadaceae
Description: bacterial SSU rRNA
Rfam family: Bacterial small subunit ribosomal RNA
Source: RNAcentral
CAACCCUGGUGGCGAGUGGCGAACGGGUGAGUAAUGCAUCGGAACGUAUCUUCGAGUGGGGGAUAACGCACCGAAAGGUGUGCUAAUACCGCAUAAUCUCUACGGAGAAAAGCAGGGGAUCGCAAGACCUUGCGCUCUUGGAGCGGCCGAUGUCUGAUUAGCUAGUUGGUGAGGUAAAGGCUUACCAAGGCGACGAUCAGUAGCUGGUCUGAGAGGACGACCAGCCACACUGGGACUGAGACACGGCCCAGACUCCUACGGGAGGCAGCAGUGGGGAAUUUUGGACAAUGGGGGAAACCCUGAUCCAGCCAUGCCGCGUGAGUGAAGAAGGCCUUCGGGUUGUAAAGCUCUUUCAGCCGGAACGAAACGGUCACGGUUAAUACCCGUGACUACUGACGGUACCGGAAGAAGAAGCACCGGCUAACUAC